This is a long non-coding RNA of Mus musculus (house mouse), 982 nucleotides long. RefSeq annotates it as predicted gene, 30909. The transcript has 2 exons. The record is from RefSeq and is a predicted model, not a curated record. NCBI's taxonomy places the organism in Eukaryota, Metazoa, Chordata, Mammalia, Rodentia, Muridae.
CCAGGGGUGGACCUGUCCAGAGCCCAUGUUUUUUCUGCAACAACAAAAUCGCAAGAGCCAGUGACAGAGCUCAAGUGACUGCUCUUCCAUGUGAGAGAUGGAGAGGAGAGAAGAAAAUGCUCUACUUUCACAUCAUGGCUCCCAGCCAGCCAGCGACGCAGGGAUCUGUGAAGCCCAAGGCCUCCCUGGCUAUUAUUUCUCUUUGUUAUUAUUUCUGAAACAAGACCUGGGCAGAAUCAAUUCAGGCGCAGAAAGACUAUUACUUUAAUUUUCGACAAGAAAUUGUCAGGAUGCCCGAGUUAGAAGAGACGACAGGCAGCCAUCAUCUAGGCUGAAGUGAAAUGAAUGCAUUUAAUGAAGCAAAGGACAUCUGUAUUAGCAAACUCCACUCAUGAGACAAAAUACGUCUUUUGGCACAAACUCUUUAGAGUUUAAAAAAACAAAAACAAAGACCAGGAACGCAAAUGAUGACAUAAUGCCCUUGAAAACAAGCUCUCUCCGAAGCCUUAGGAAGUCAACCAGAUAGAUCAGAGAGAAUUAAUUUUAUUCAAUACAAAUGGAUUUUUGAAAGCUCUUAAUUAGACUUUGUCCUAAAAUAAGUGAUUUUUCAUAAAAAAUUAAUUUACAUUCUUCCCUCCUUAAGUAACUGACAUACAAUUUUGUUCCCCCAAAAUGGAGAAGCCAGGCUGCCCAGCAAUGGUGAAGGGCUAUUUUAUGAGUGUGUUUUCCACUGGCCACACACAUCCCCUCUCUACCAAAUAUGAGAAGAACAGCACAAGAAUCCAAGCAAGCUGGUGAUAGCAUUUAUGUGAGUGAAGACCCCUAGCUAAUAUUCACGGUAUUCAUGGUCUGGAGGGAUAUGACGUCACUGUAGAGCUCUCCGUCUCUGUGGCCAGUGCAUACUGGAUAUGGCAUCUGCAAGGGCCCAGGUCAUCCUUGUGAUUAUUUUACCCUGAGAGAUAAAAUAAACCUAUUUUUGUCA